Molecule: ribosomal RNA, 392 nt
Filed under: uncultured bacterium
Lineage: Bacteria
Description: partial 16S ribosomal RNA
Rfam family: Bacterial small subunit ribosomal RNA
Source: RNAcentral
AUACGGAGGAUCCGAGCGUUAUCCGGAUUUAUUGGGUUUAAAGGGUGCGUAGGUGGUUAAUUAAGUUAGCGGUAAAAUCUGUAGGCUCAACCUAUAUAAGCCGUUAAGACUGAAUAGCUAGAGAGAGGAUGCAGCAGGCGGAAUGUGUAGUGUAGCGGUGAAAUGCAUAGAUAUUACACAGAACACCGAUUGCGAAGGCAGCUUGCUAAGCCUUAUCUGACACUGAAGCACGAAAGCGUGGGUAGCGAACGGGAUUAGAUACCCCGGUAGUCCACGCAGUAAACGAUGAUAACUGGUUGUCGGCGAUACACGGUCGGUGACUAAGCGAAAGCGAUAAGUUAUCCACCUGGGGAGUAUGCCCGCAAGGGUGAAACUUAAAUGAAUUGGCGGGG